Molecule: small nuclear RNA, 104 nt
Organism: Saimiri boliviensis boliviensis (Bolivian squirrel monkey)
Lineage: Eukaryota; Metazoa; Chordata; Mammalia; Primates; Cebidae
Source: RefSeq, a predicted model, not a curated record
GUGCUCACUUCAGCAGCAAAUAUACUAAAAUUGGAACAGCAGAGAGAUUAGUGUGGCCCCUGCCCAAGGAUGACACACAAAUUCGUGACAUGUUGCGUAUUUUU